AGAUUGAACGCUGGCGGAAUGCUUUACACAUGCAAGUCGAACGGCAGCACGGGGGCAACCCUGGUGGCGAGUGGCGAACGGGUGAGUAAUACAUCGGAACGUGCCCAGUCGUGGGGGAUAACUACGCGAAAGCGUAGCUAAUACCGCAUACGAUCUACGGAUGAAAGCGGGGGAUCGCAAGACCUCGCGCGAUUGGAGCGGCCGAUGGCAGAUUAGGUAGUUGGUGGGUAAAGGCUCACCAAGCCGUCGAUCUGUAGCUGGUCUGAGAGGACGACCAGCCACACUGGGACUGAGACACGGCCCAGACUCCUACGGGAGGCAGCAGGUGGGAAUUUUGGACAAUGGGCGCAAGCCUGAUCCAGCCAUUCCGCGUGC
Molecule: ribosomal RNA, 375 nt
Filed under: uncultured soil bacterium
Lineage: Bacteria
Description: bacterial SSU rRNA
Rfam family: Bacterial small subunit ribosomal RNA
Source: RNAcentral